Non-coding RNA from Pelobates cultripes (western spadefoot toad), 233 nucleotides. NCBI's taxonomy places the organism in Eukaryota, Metazoa, Chordata, Amphibia, Anura, Pelobatidae. The record is from the annotation of a GenBank genome assembly.
GGAUUCAAUCAAAAGUUAUUAAGUGCGGGUAGUACACACUAUGCAGCUCACCAGACAUCUGAGAAACGAGGUUUAAAGACCAUGUUUAGGGCACAGGGUGAAGCCAUAUCUCUAUUCCUGCACCUGCAUCUCCAAUUCCUGGUUGAGAUUGAGAGUCCUUAUUUACUGUAUAUGCCACCUGCUCAUGAACACAACCCUCCUAGUGCACCAUCCUUCUCCAUUCCAAGGUCUUG